UCCAAAAAUUAUUCUUCGCUUAAUCACGUUAAUUUUUUUAAUUAGUAAUUAACACGUUAUAUACGCAGCUUCUUGGAAACUUGUCUGAAUUUUCUGCAAUCAUGCAUAAAUAAGCUAAAUAGUACUCCGCAAAUAGACGAAAACAAAUCAAACUGUGAGAAAACAGAUAAAGAACAAACAAAACAUUUCAAUUUUACGAUUUCCGGCCCCUUCAAUACAUACAUAUAUAUAUAUAUAUAUAUAUCUUCAAACACUGCAGACCUCAAGUUUCAUUCACAUAAAACGCUUUAACUUUUGAACCCCAACAUUCUUUUGUCAACUGACUUGGUUAUUUUGGAUGUGGGUUUUUGAGUAAUACUGAUUUCAAUUUCCGCUUCCUAAGUUCUUCAGCUAGUUCUCUGCUCUGAUUUUUCCUGUUUUUGAUUCAUACGUAUGGGGGGGAACAACUGUAAGUUGGGUUGUGGAGGUUCUAGUGCUGUGUCUGAUUCUAUCUGUAAGUUGGACAAGAAGUUUUCAUGGAUAAAGAAAGAUUACAAAACCUUGGAUGAGGUUUCUGAAGCUUUGAGAGCCAAGGGUCUCAAGUCUGUUAAUCCUAUUCUUGGAUUUUGUUUCACUCAAAGCAAGUGGACAACCGAAAAGAGCUUGCAUUACAUAGGAAAUGACCCAAACGAUUAUGAAAAAGUGGUAUCUAUAAUAGGAAGGACCCUUGCUGCUAUUUGUGGGGAUAACUAUAUUCACUGCUUUGGAUUUGGAGAUGCAACCACACUUGAUACGCACGUCUUUAGCUUCUACGAAGAUAAGAAACCCUGUCAUGGGUUUGAGGAAGUCGUAGAACGAUACAGACAAAUAGCGUGUCAAAUGCGACUGGCAGAUUUAAAGUCAUUUGUACGAAUCGUUGAAAUGGCUACUCGUAUUGCAAGUGAAAAAUGUGACCAGCAUCAUAUUUUGGUCAUGAUUGCCGAUGGACCGGUAACAAGAAGUUCUGACACAGAGCAUGGCAAGCUAAGUGAUGAGGAGCAACAAACUGUAACUGCAAUUUCAAAAGCAAGCAAGUACCCCUUGUCAAUUAUUUUAGUUGGAGUCGGGGAAAAGAAUGCAAACAUGAUGAAAGGAUUAGAGUCUAAGAUCCCUCAUUGUACUACCUUUGAUAACUUUCAGUAUGUCAACUACACGGAUAUAAUGUCUCGUGUGCCAGAGGGUAGAAGGGAAGUCGAGUUUACUCUUGCGGCAACCAAAAAACUACCUAACCAGGUUAUAGCGAUCGAGAAACUAAUUGCUUCAACGAGGUUACGAUGAAUCCUACUUGCUGUUAUGUUUUGACACUUUACAAACAAUAAAGCAAUAGAAAUGGAUUGGGAUUCUACUGCUCCACCUAUACCAGUUAGCGGGACGCCUAACCAGCCUUUGUGAACCAAAUUUAUUUCCAUCUCCAAGACAGAAGUGACUGCCGAGAAGACCCUGAGUUGUGCACACCAGAAAGACUCAAACUAGGCCAAAGAAAAACUAUGCCAUUUUGGCAUUUUUGUUUCUACUGUUCUUCUGGGGAGUUCAAUAUUUGUUGUCUUAAUUUUUUUUCUAUUCUUGGGUAUAUUUGUAUAAAGGUACGGAUUAUAAUGUACAGUUUAGAUAUCCUAAACGACAUACUUGUACAAGUACUAACAUAUCAAAAAAAUCAUUAAAAAAAAGCAUCUGCAACCAUUAGCGAA
Papaver somniferum (opium poppy) is the source of this 1706-nucleotide RNA transcript. It is a transcript of the gene named E3 ubiquitin-protein ligase RGLG1-like, with no coding region annotated. The transcript is spliced from 10 exons. The record is from RefSeq and is a predicted model, not a curated record. NCBI's taxonomy places the organism in Eukaryota, Viridiplantae, Streptophyta, Magnoliopsida, Ranunculales, Papaveraceae.